Molecule: ribosomal RNA, 253 nt
Filed under: uncultured bacterium
Lineage: Bacteria
Description: partial 16S ribosomal RNA
Rfam family: Bacterial small subunit ribosomal RNA
Source: RNAcentral
UACGUAGGGGGCUAGCGUUGUCCGGAUUUAUUGGGCGUAAAGAGCGUGUAGGCGGCCAUGUAGGUCCGGUGUGAAAACUCGAGGCUUAACCUCGAGAUGUCAUCGGAAACCAUUUGGCUAGAGUCCGGAAGAGGAGAGUGGAAUUCCUGGUGUAGCGGUGAAAUGCGCAGAUAUCAGGAAGAACACCAAUGGCGAAAGCGGCUCUCUGGAACGGUACUGACGCUGAGACGCGAAAGCGUGGGGAGCGAACAGG